RNAcentral lists this transfer RNA (71 nucleotides) under Loliolus beka. Its description in RNAcentral is "tRNA-Glu". Lineage: Eukaryota; Metazoa; Mollusca; Cephalopoda; Myopsida; Loliginidae. The record is from RNAcentral.
UAUUCUUAGCACAAAUACAAUUAGUGCUCUAAAAGAUUGAAAAUCUAAUGUGCUAUUUACACUAUAAGAAC